Molecule: ribosomal RNA, 484 nt
Filed under: uncultured bacterium
Lineage: Bacteria
Description: partial 16S ribosomal RNA
Rfam family: Bacterial small subunit ribosomal RNA
Source: RNAcentral
AUUGAACGCUGGCGGCAGGCCUAACACAUGCAAGUCGAGCGGAUGAAGGGAGCUUGCUCCUGGAUUCAGCGGCGGACGGGUGAGUAAUGCCUAGGAAUCUGCCUGGUAGUGGGGGAUAACGCCCGGAAACGGGCGCUAAUACCGCAUACGUCCUGAGGGAGAAAGUGGGGGAUCUUCGGACCUCACGCUAUCAGAUGAGCCUAGGUCGGAUUAGCUAGUUGGUGGGGUAAAGGCCUACCAAGGCGACGAUCCGUAACUGGUCUGAGAGGAUGAUCAGUCACACUGGAACUGAGACCCGGUCCAGACUCCUACGGGAGGCAGCAGUGGGGAAUAUUGGACAAUGGGCGAAAGCCUGAUCCAGCCAUGCCGCGUGUGUGAAGAAGGUCUUCGGAUUGUAAAGCACUUUAAGUUGGGAGGAAGGGCAGUAAGUUAAUACCUUGCUGUUUUGACGUUACCAACAGAAUAAGCACCGGCUAACUUCGUG